GCCAACAAACGAAAAUUUGAAAACAAAAGGGUCUUGUGGAGACCGUGUGUUAAUUUUACCAUUCUAGGUUUCGAUCUGAAUCGGUGUACAAAAUGAAAUUUACUUUGAGUAUAGUGUGUAUAUUUUACUUAAAAGUGAUCGAGAGCCAUGAUUCGGAAAGUUCGGAGAUGAAUCGCAUAGAAAUAACACCAUUCUACGAUACGAUUAUUAUAAGUGAUGUCGCCGAUAUUAUAAACGAAUUCGAAAAUAAUAUGAACUCCCCGUUAGACGCAAUUCUUAAUAGUGAAAGUGAGAGCGAUGAAAAUAUAGAAGAUUUACUGAACGAAUACCAAAACUAUUUAGACAAAGCCCAUAAGCAACGGCUCACGUUUUUAGAAAGUAAAAACAAAGCCAAAAAUAAGGUUCCCCUUAUGCGGCAUGACAAGUUCUUCAAAGGGAAAACACCGAAUAUGAAACACGACAAUUUCUUCUUCAACAGUUUCCUUAAUCCUAACUCCUUGAAAUAUCCACAAACUCAACAAAAUAAUUUCGAUCUGUAUAUUCCACUAAAUGCGAAUGAGAAAUUUAUAAACAAACCUUCAGAUCAGCAUAAGGAUGUUACUGCUCAAUUUGCACCCUUAGACAAAAUCAUCAAAAAUAAGUUCUUACCCUAUAACCUGCAAUCUACCGUUUUGAGUCCCGACGUGGACGUCAUAAAGCCACGCUGUUGUAAAAACGGUCAAGUUAAUUGCAAACAGUGUACAAAUUUCAACUCAUUUUCUGAAACGCAUAUUGAUCCCAAACUAUUCGUUUUUGAUAAAGCACAAUCGGAGAUUCAACAAGAUUCGUCUCGCCUGGGAAACAAUUUCAUAAACAAGGAGCUGUCAAACGAUCUUGAGAACACUAUCAACCUGAAAGUAAAAGUUGAAGUGCAGAUGCCAAGUUUAAUGAAUAUGAGGAAAUCCUAUAAAGGGAAAUAUCGUGAAAGAAUACUAGAACCAGAAGACACUUAUUCCAAAGAGUACAUGUCAAGUAUAAACUUGCCUGUACCAUAUUUUAACUUUCCAAUUCCAUUAGAUGUCUUUGGUUAUAAAAAGAGUCCUAAAUUUUAUAAACACGACAAUAAUUUACACGAGAUAACUAUUCAUAAGAAAAAGAAAUCAAGAAAUAAUAAUAUCAAAAAACAUCGAAACAAAAUAAUUUCAUUUCAUAAAAUAUCAUCUGCAGUACCUCAUAUCAAUAUUACGCUUGAACACUUUAACAAUACUAAUGAUAAUCAUGGUAUUCACAGCAACAGUGAUAGGAUAAAUGCAUUGUUAAAUAUGAGUAAAUUCAUUGAAGAAAAUGCUAAAAGUAAUACCACAAGGGAUCUAAAUUUUAAAGACAAAGGUAACGACACUCAAGUAGAAGAAAGUAUAUAUGUAACGCUAAAUAUCUCCAAUAAAGGCCAAAUCGAUAAAGAUGAUGCUCGCAAAAUAAUUGAGAAUAGCAUCGAAACUGAAUACAGUAAGGCACAUGCGUUUAAUAUUACUACAGAAAAAUCUUUAAUAGAACGGAGAAAGCGCGACAUUCAGGCUCAGAAUAUCACGGUAGAUAGUAAUUUAAAUCUGACAGUUCUUGCAUUACCAAACGUUACAAGUUUGAAUUACACUUUAAACAAACUAAAAGCGCUACAACAGAAUAUCUCAAAAGCUGUAGAGCAGGUGCUCAUGUCUAGGAAAAUUGAAAAGAGCAUGUUUUCUGAUGCAGAAAUGCUAUUUUGGCCAAAUUCUCCUCAAAAUGGUUCCAAAAUAAAUUCGGGUAAUAUAACAAAUUUAAUACUGGACAGGGAAAAUAAGAAAGAAAAGUUCAACAUGAGUGUAGCCUCAAUCCGACUCAAUCGCACUGCAGCUCUGGAACACGCCAUAUUUGGAAACGUGGAUUGGAAUGAUGUAGAUGUAGUUGCGCCAACAGUUUUGUCUUUCGUGGGUAAAUAUAUAAAAGGAGUUUUAACUUUUUGUUCAGAAAAGAUUUGCCAUUCCAUGAAAUGUGAAGAUAUGAAAUGUUUCCAUAGAAUUUGUGCUCCCGAAGACAGAUUCAAUCAAAAAGGACAUUGUAUAGGAUCUAACGUAACAGAUAGCAUAGCAUCAUUGGAAUCAAUUAUGGAUUUACCAUCAAGUGUUGUGUUUAAAAUUGUGGACAUCUUGGAAGACAGAAUGUUAGGUAAAUUAUUUGGUAAGGUAACACUUUGCGUGAACGCCAAGUGCAUGACAUUUUUGGCAUCCAAAAAGAAUUUUCUAAAGUAUAAAUGUGGUAUGAAGGAAACUGUUACAGGGCAUUGUCAAAAUUUAAAAAAUUCCAAAAUGAUGUAAUACGCCAUAGAACUUAAAUUGUUUUCAAAAUAAAAUGAUUUGAAAAAUGAAACAAAGGUGUUUAUAAAUAUGCGCUUAAGCUGAAAUUUGGUCCUGAUAAGAAGCAUUCAUUACUUGCAUGGAACAACAUGCGGACUCGUCACAAGUUCUAUAUUCAAUUAACAAUAUUCGUUACUUUGCGAUUACUAUUAUUAUGUAAUACAUAUAUCCUUGAAUCCCAAGAGCUAUUUUUUAAUCCAUGGAUGAGGAUCGUGCCCCAUCUGAUAAAGUUCGAUAACAAAGGAAAGUUACAAAGAAAGACCGUGAUGCCAAAUCAAAUUGUCCACUGGAGGGAAGUAGAAAGAAUGUUAGGUAAACAAGCAGCACGAAGAUUUCAAGAGGACGACUGGGAUCCACAAGAGUGGAAUGAUUACGUCACGACGGAAAUACGUCACAUGCUUAGAAACUUAUUCGCCAAUGCAAAGAAAAAACAAAGACUCAAAAUUUACACAUUUUGUAGUAAGACUAAGUCCAUAUGUCGAUUUUUAGUUUGUCCAGAUAUAAGAAAAUUUUGUACGGUGUGUGAAGCCAUAAGUGAGGACGACGAAGAUCCAGAUGACACAUCGGUCAAUAAGAUUACGCAUUGCAUGAAUUAUACAACUAAAUUCUUAGUAACUCAAUGAUAUUAAAGAUUAGCAAGGAAACAUUUUUUUACUUCUAUGCUAAACCAGGGGCACAUCCCAGCUUUACUCGGGUAAAAACAUAAUAAAUUAUACGCCUAAGCUUUCUUAAGAAAUCACACUAUUUAUUGGUGACAACCGCAUUAAAAAAAAUUUGAGUUUAUCGCGAACAGACAGAUGGAUAGACAGACGUGAAAGAGGGCUUUGUUUUAUAAUAUUU
Plodia interpunctella (Indianmeal moth) is the source of this 3209-nucleotide RNA transcript. RefSeq lists it as uncharacterized. The record is from RefSeq and is a predicted model, not a curated record. The transcript has 5 exons. NCBI's taxonomy places the organism in Eukaryota, Metazoa, Arthropoda, Insecta, Lepidoptera, Pyralidae.